RNAcentral lists this ribosomal RNA (492 nucleotides) under uncultured bacterium. RNAcentral's name for it is "partial 16S ribosomal RNA". It matches the Rfam family "Bacterial small subunit ribosomal RNA", at positions 29 to 507 of the family's 1533-position model. The record is from RNAcentral.
AGUGAACGCUGGCGGUAGGCCUAACACAUGCAAGUCGAACGGCAGCACAGUAAGAGCUUGCUCUUACGGGUGGCGAGUGUCGGACGGGUGAGGAAUACAUCGGAAUCUACUUUUUAGUGGGGGAUAACGUAGGGAAACUUACGCUAAUACCGCACACGACCUGCGGGUGAAAGCAGGGGAUCUUCGGACCUUGAGCGAUUGAAUGAGCCGAUGUCGGAUUAGCUAGUCGGCGGGGUAAAGGCCCACGAAGGCGGCGAUCCGUAGCUGGUCUGAGUGGGAGAUCAGCCACACCUGAACUGAGACACGGUCCCGACUCCUACGGGAGGCAGCAGUGGGUAAUAUGGGACAAUGGGCGCAAGCCUAAUCCAGCCAUACCGCGUGGGUGAAGAAGGCCUUCGGGUUGUAAAGCCAUUUUGUUGGGAAAGAAAAGCAGCAGGCUAAUACCCCGCUGUUCUGACGGUACCCAAAGAAUAAGCACCGGCUAACUUCGUG